Molecule: ribosomal RNA, 274 nt
Filed under: uncultured bacterium
Lineage: Bacteria
Description: partial 16S ribosomal RNA
Rfam family: Bacterial small subunit ribosomal RNA
Source: RNAcentral
AUACGGAGGGUGCAAGCGUUACUCGGAAUCACUGGGCGUAAAGCGCGCGCAGGCGGCUAUUUAAGUUGGAUGUGAAAGCCUACGGCUCAACCGUAGAACUGCAUCCAAAACUAUUUAGCUAGAGUGUUGGAGAGGAAGAUGGAAUUAGUUGUGUAGGGGUAAAAUCCGUAGAGAUAACUAGGAAUACCAAAAGCGAGGGCAAUCUUCUGGAACACUACUGACGCUGAGGCGCGAAAGCGUGGGGAGCAAACGGGAUUAGAAACCCUAGUAGUCC